Molecule: ribosomal RNA, 253 nt
Filed under: uncultured bacterium
Lineage: Bacteria
Description: partial 16S ribosomal RNA
Rfam family: Bacterial small subunit ribosomal RNA
Source: RNAcentral
UACGUAGGUGGCAAGCGUUGUCCGGAUUUACUGGGCGUAAAGAGCGCGCAGGCGGUCAGAUAAGUCGAAUGUGAAAGCCCCGGGCUCAACCUGGGAAUUGCAUUCGAGACUGAAUAGCUAGGGUACGGUAGAGGGAAGUGGAAUUUCCGGUGUAGCGGUGAAAUGCGUAGAUAUCGGAAGGAACAUCAGUGGCGAAAGCGACUUCCUGGACCAGUACCGACGUUCAGGCACGAAAGCGUGGGGAGCAAACAGG